GAAAGCCCCGCCAGAGUGAUGCCUAACCAGCAACUCUGUAGCUAGUCCUUGGAAUCUUCCAGGCAACUGGGGGCUUUAAGCGUAGGACGGCAAAAUAGCGGGCCGAAAGCGAAAGCUGAAGUGAUGAGCCUCGUAAUCCUCGUAAUAUCAGUUGAGUAUGGCCGAUGUGGUUACACGCACAGAAGGUAAUACCAGUAUAGGCGUUAUGGUGAGUCUUUACUGACACUUCGGGGUCUAAGAGCU
Peptococcaceae bacterium BRH_c8a is the source of this 243-nucleotide non-coding RNA. Lineage: Bacteria; Bacillati; Bacillota; Clostridia; Eubacteriales; Peptococcaceae. The record is from Rfam.